RNAcentral lists this ribosomal RNA (492 nucleotides) under uncultured bacterium. Its description in RNAcentral is "partial 16S ribosomal RNA". It matches the Rfam family "Bacterial small subunit ribosomal RNA", at positions 29 to 507 of the family's 1533-position model. The record is from RNAcentral.
AGUGAACGCUGGCGGUAGGCCUAACACAUGCAAGUCGAACGGCAGCACAGUAAGAGCUUGCUCUUACGGGUGGCGAGUGGCGGACGGGUGAGGAAUACAUCGGAAUCUACUUUUUCGUGGGGGAUAACGUAGGGAAACUUACGCUAAUACCGCAUACGACCUACGGGUGAAAGCAGGGGAUCUUCGGACCUUGCGCGAUUGAAUGAGCCGAUGUCGGAUUAGCUAGUUGGCGGGGUAAAGGCCCACCAAGGCGACGAUCUGUAGCUGGUCUGAGAGGAUGAUCAGCCAAACUGGAACUGAGACACGGUCCAGACUCCUACGGGAGGCAGCAGUGGGGAAUAUUGGACAAUGGGCGCAAGCCUGAUCCAGCCAUACCGCGUGGGUGAAGAAGGCCUUCGGGUUGUAAAGCCCUUUUGUUGGGAAAGAAAAGCAGCAGGUUAAUACCCCGCUGUUCUGACGGUACCCAAAGAAUAAGCACCGGCUAACUUCGUG